This is a long non-coding RNA of Dreissena polymorpha, 443 nucleotides long. RefSeq lists it as uncharacterized. The transcript is spliced from 2 exons. NCBI's taxonomy places the organism in Eukaryota, Metazoa, Mollusca, Bivalvia, Myida, Dreissenidae. The record is from RefSeq and is a predicted model, not a curated record.
UAUCUACUGGACAUUCUGAUAACUUACAAGAUCUUGGUCUUUGGGAAAGAGGCAGUAAAUCCCACCAACGUAUCAUACAUCUUGCGAGGAAACAUACCCGGGCUGAUUCUAGUAAUAUGACAGACGCCGUUAACGUUGCCUUUGGUAAACCUGCCUACCAAACAGACACCAACCGUCCAUAUACGGCGGACCGUGCUGUUGACGAAAAUACGAAAUCGCGAUUGAUUGAAGACCAGUCGUGCACCCACACAGCGUCUCACAACGUCUCAUGAUGGGUGAAUCUCGAGCAGAUAUUCCUCAUCCGAAGCGUCAAGAUUUACAAGAGGAAUGUAGGACAUAAGUGUGAACCUUUAAUUUGGUGAAACUCAUAAUUAAUGGGUUUGUCGUGCGUUGUCAUUUCUUGUGUGGAAAAUCGUUAUGAAAAUAUAUUGUAAAAUGUAAAA